ACUUAAAGGAAUUGACGGAAGGGCACCACCAGCAGUGGAGCCUGCGGUUCAAUUUGACUCAACACUGGAAAGCUUACCAGGCCCAGACAUUAGAAGGAUUGACAGAUUGAUAGCUCUUUCUUGAUUAAGUGGAUAGUGGUGCGUUGGUGGAGUGAUUUGUCUGGUUAAUUCCGAUAACGAGCGAGACUCUAACUUACUAACUAGGCGCUUGGUAUUUUUGCUACCAGCGUUUUUAUUCUUCUUAGAGGGACAAGCGGCUUUCAGCCGCACGAGAUUGAGCAAUAACAGGUCAGAGAUGCCCUCAGAUGUUCUGGGCCGCACGCGCGCUACACUGAAGGAAUCAGCGUGUGUUUCCCUGUCCGAAAGGACCGGGUAACCCGCUGAACCUCCUUCGUGCUAGGAAUUGGGGCUUGAAAUUAUUCCCUAUAAACGAGGAAUUCCCAGUAAGCGUGAGUCAUAAGCUCGCGUUGAUUACGUCCCUGCCCUUUGUACACACCGCCCGUCGCUACUACCGAUUGAAUGAUUUAGUGAGGUCUUCAGACUGGUAAUAAAUAAAUAUUGCUUAUUGCAAUUUAAGUAUUACCGGAAAGAUGACCAAACUUGAUUAUUUAGAGGAAGUAAAAGUCGUAACAAGG
RNAcentral lists this ribosomal RNA (635 nucleotides) under Nannocoris sp. 1 AK-2020. RNAcentral's name for it is "SSU rRNA". It matches the Rfam family "Eukaryotic small subunit ribosomal RNA", at positions 1142 to 1799 of the family's 1831-position model. Lineage: Eukaryota; Metazoa; Arthropoda; Insecta; Hemiptera; Schizopteridae. The record is from RNAcentral.